Pipra filicauda (Wire-tailed manakin) is the source of this 574-nucleotide long non-coding RNA. RefSeq lists it as uncharacterized. The transcript has 3 exons. The record is from RefSeq and is a predicted model, not a curated record. Lineage: Eukaryota; Metazoa; Chordata; Aves; Passeriformes; Pipridae.
GGUGGUACUGGUGUCCUGGCACUAUCUAUACUGGUUGUACUGGAACCAUCAGCACCGGCUGUACUGGUUACACUGGUGUCCUUGUACUGGGUACACUGGUUCCAACCGUACUGGGAUCACUGGUGUCUCUGUACUGGUGUAACCAGUUCUGUCUGUACUGGUGUUAUUGGUGUCCCUGUACUGGUGUUACUGGUUCUGUCUGUACUGGUGUGAUCUCGUCUGUCUGUACCGGUGUUACUGGUGUCCCUGUACUGGUAUUACUGGUGUUCCUGUACUGCUGUUCCUGGUCCUGUACUGGUGCUGCUGGUCCUGUGUGCACUGGUGUUACUGGUCCUGUACUGGUGACGAAGGGGAGGGGCCUGUCUCGCUGACGUCACGGGGAUCCCCGGCGCUGAUUGGCCGAUCGCGCUGUCAGUCAGGCGGGUGACGCGGUCGGACCCGGGAGCGGCGGCGGAGCCCGAGUGCCGCCAUGUCCUGAGGAUGUUCAGCCUGGACGAGACCCCCGAGGACCCCGGAUCCAACCCCCCCUCCCCCUGGGGGGGCUCCCCCACCCCCAGCCAGCCCAGCACCCCCU